Long non-coding RNA from Pezoporus flaviventris, 1150 nucleotides. RefSeq lists it as uncharacterized. Lineage: Eukaryota; Metazoa; Chordata; Aves; Psittaciformes; Psittacidae. The record is from RefSeq and is a predicted model, not a curated record. The transcript is spliced from 3 exons.
GUACCAUUUGGACAGGUUUGCACACUAUUUCUUGUCACUUUAGUGGUAUGCUAUUUUCACACAAAUUGUACUAUUUUCACACAAAUUGUACUGUUUCAGCAAAAGAAGACUUUGAGAAUUAUGCUGUAGAAACAGAUGUCUUUCCAGUUCUUAUAACUCGCUAACUACAGAGUAUCUAUAGCAUAACUGAAGAUUUUUCAAUUUGUCUUUUGGGGUUUGUAAGGUUCCACGUAGGAGUUCUAUAAGUCUUCAGUCACACUAUGGUGGUGCAAAGCAUAGAAAGAAAGAGAAAGCCCUGAGACCCAAGACGGUCUAUUGUCCUUCUGUUCCAGUCCGAACUUCAGUGAAGUAUGAAGCACAGAGACCAGGUAAAUGAAUGUUGAUAAGCUACUGUCCUUCUUUCAAGUGUAACUUUGAAACCAGUGGGUUUUGGUUUAAAGAUGACCAAAGCAGGUGGCUGAUUGUGGUUUUGGAAGAAGUAGUCCUAGUUACCAGACAUUUGGACCAUUGAUUUUUCUUCUGUGCAUUGGUUAAUCUAUGUGAGAAAGAUCUUCAGAGAGUAUGAAGUUACAAGUAUUUUCACAGAACAACUUUCAAAUUUGAGACACAGAUUCUGUCUUCCUGAUUAUCUGAUAACAUCUAGUAUCAAUGAAUCCAGCUGUUUGUUUUGGUUUUGUUGUAUUUGUUUUGUUUUAGCUGGUGAAGUUUUCCCACAAAAUUUUGUAGCAUGCUUGUGUGUGCACAUACAAUACAGUGGAAGUUUGACAAAACAGAAGUGUACAAACCAAGAACAGUAUGGGUUGUUUCUUACCAGGAUGAUACUAAAACAAUAUUUACUUUUAUGUUAGGAAGCAGGAAGAAUAUGGCCAUUACCUUGUGGAAACCUUAAACAUUUUCUGUGUGGAUCUUUCCAUAUUAAGUCCAGAAGACUGCAUGCCUUUCACUGUCAGCUUGCAAACAGCCAGCUCACACCGAGAGCUACUGCACAGGCACACAAAUGCACGAGAACUGCAUAAUACAUUUAAGUAUUGGUAAAAAAAAUCUGUCUAUGGAAAUUAUGUGGUACCAACUUGUUACAUGUCAGUUCUGUUGCACUAUGCUACUGCUGUGUCACCUCAGACAAAAAUAAAACCCAAAACAACGGAGAAUA